Long non-coding RNA from Physeter macrocephalus (sperm whale), 335 nucleotides. RefSeq lists it as uncharacterized. Lineage: Eukaryota; Metazoa; Chordata; Mammalia; Artiodactyla; Physeteridae. The record is from RefSeq and is a predicted model, not a curated record. The transcript has 3 exons.
GCAGAUGCUGAAAAAUCUUUCUGGGAGUGUUGACAUAGUAUUUGUCUCUUGAGCACAUGUUUAUUUUUAGCGGUAAAUUAUCAGAGCUUGUGAGGCUGAAACCUCAGCUACUUUUUGCAUGCGUUUUCAGUAGCUGAAUUCCAGACCAGGGCACCACAGACUGCCUAUCAGCCAUGACGAUGAUUUCCAGAACUCCUCCUCCCAUCUUGCCAGCAUUAUUUCCAAUAACCAACACAUGGAAGCAACCUAAAUGUCCAUCGAUGGAUGAAUGGAUAAAGAAAAUGUGAAUGACUGAGUUUUCCAUUUGGAUAAAGCUUCAUGCGUUUCUCAUCUGC